RNAcentral lists this ribosomal RNA (253 nucleotides) under uncultured bacterium. RNAcentral's name for it is "partial 16S ribosomal RNA". It matches the Rfam family "Bacterial small subunit ribosomal RNA", at positions 524 to 776 of the family's 1533-position model. The record is from RNAcentral.
UACGUAGGGGGCAAGCGUUGUCCGGAAUCAUUGGGCGUAAAGAGCGUGUAGGCGGCCCGAUAAGUCCGCUGUGAAAGUCCAGGGCUCAACCCUGGAAUGCCGGUGGAUACUGUCGGGCUCGAAUCCGGAAGAGGUGAGUGGAAUUCCUGGUGUAGCGGUGAAAUGCGCAGAUAUCAGGAGGAACACCAAUGGCGAAGGCAGCUCACUGGGACGGUAUUGACGCUAAGGCGCGAAAGCGUGGGGAGCGAACAGG